CCUACGGGAGGCAGCAGUAGGGAAUCUUCCACAAUGGGCGCAAGCCUGAUGGAGCAACACCGCGUGAGUGAAGAAGGGUUUCGGCUCGUAAAGCUCUGUUGUUGGAGAAGAACGUGCGUGAGAGUAACUGUUCACGCAGUGACGGUAUCCAACCAGAAAGUCACGGCUAACUACGUGCCAGCAGCCGCGGUAAUACGUAGGUGGCAAGCAUUAUCCGGAUUUAGUGGGCGUAAAGCGAGCGCAGGCGGUUGCUUAGGUCUGAUGUGAAAGCCUUCGGCUUAACCGAAGAAGUGCAUCGGAAACCGGGCGACUUGAGUGCAGAAGAGGACAGUGGAACUACAUGUGUAGCGGUGGAAUGCGUAGAUAUAUGGAAGAACACCAGUGGCGAAGGCGGCUGGCUGGUCUGCAACUGACGCUGAGGCUCGAAAGCAUGGGUAGCGAACAGGAUUAGAUACCCUAGUAGUC
RNAcentral lists this ribosomal RNA (465 nucleotides) under uncultured bacterium. RNAcentral's name for it is "partial 16S ribosomal RNA". It matches the Rfam family "Bacterial small subunit ribosomal RNA", at positions 338 to 795 of the family's 1533-position model. The record is from RNAcentral.